This is a long non-coding RNA of Chelonia mydas (Green sea turtle), 4397 nucleotides long. RefSeq lists it as uncharacterized. The transcript has 3 exons. Lineage: Eukaryota; Metazoa; Chordata; Testudines; Cheloniidae. The record is from RefSeq and is a predicted model, not a curated record.
GGGUGGCAGCGGACCACUCCCGGGAGGCCAGCCGCUGCCUGGGGGAGCCGGUUUCCCUGCGGGGCGUCCGCGGGCAGGGGUCUGCACCGGCCUUGAGAGGGGCGGCGGCGGCGCUCCCUUGCCCGCUCCCCAACUCCUGCAGUUCCCACCAACGCAAUCCUGAUUUCCCGACACCGGGCGGGCUGGGAACCGGGCGCUUCCACUUUCGCUCUGAAAAGCUGGGAAAUUCCCGGCCGGGACAGGGGGGAUAAAAGCACCGUCGCGGGCGCCGCUGCUCCACUGCGGGCGGUAGCUGCCAGGGAACCAGCGGAGCCGGUGCAUCAACUUCCGGGCGCCGUGGUCUGUAAGGAGGGUAAAGCGCCAUCUGAGCAGCACUGACCAACAAUCGCCACAGUGGGAUAUACCAAGCAGCAAGAACCCAUCCCAGGGACGGUAAGCAAUUUUAAGAACUUGGUCCAUUUUAGGAGCCCAGAAUUUUGAGACAUCUUAUUUAGAAACUGUAGCAGAAGUGCUGAACUUUCUUAUUACCUUGAGAUAGGAACAAGUCCAUCCCAAAGAGAUGAGCUAUCAUUAGGAAAGCAUUUUGGCUGCGAUUCCACUCUAUUUAGUCUGUUCUACUAUUAGUUUAUCUGUUCUGCUGCUUUUCUCUUUCUUUGAAGAGUUAAAAGAAUUAUAAUUUGUUUUUUCUGUCCACAUGACAUGAAGCAAACUCCAUCCUUGUGGAGUUGGUUCCUCCCUAUUGGUUGAUAUUUGCUAUUGAUAUUCUAUUACCUGUCAUGCUCAGAAUGGGCUGGAGAUGUGUUUCCUUCCGAAUUCCUUCUGUCAUUCAAGUGAGCUUUCCAUCCAAUAGACAGGUAUUCAUAGCAAUACUAUCCUCAGAGGUUCCUCUAAUGGAGUGGUUUUCAAACUGCUGGGUCGUGGAAUGUAAGGCAUUGGGUCAUGGCAGCUCUGGUCAGCACCGCCGAGUGGGCCAUUAAAAGUCCCAUCAGUGGUGCUGCCCAGCUAAGGCAGGCUACUCCCUACCUGUUCUGACACUGCGCUGUGCCCCUGGAAGCGGCCAGCAGCAGGGCCAGCUCCUAGAUGGGGGGGCCAUGGGGCUCCACAUGCUGCCCCACCAUGAGCACCAGCUCCACACUCCCAUUGGCUAGGAGCUGCGGGGAGCAGUGCCUGAGGGCGAGAGCCGCACAAAGCUGCUUGAGCGCUUCCACCUAGGAGCUGGACCUGCUGUGGUUUGCGGUGCCAGGACAGGCAGGAAGCCUGCCUUAGCACCCCCACUGUGACACUGACUAGGAGCCACCUGAGGUAAGCCCACACACCAAUCCCCUGCCCCAGCCCUGAGCCCCCCAAACCCAGAGCCCCCUCCUGCACCCCAAACCCCUCAUCCCCAGCUCCACCCCAGAGCCUGCAUCCCCAGUCCAGAGCCCUGACCCCCUCCUGCACCUCAAGCCCCUGCCACAGCCCAGACCCCCCUUGUACACCCUGAACCCUUCAUUCCCAGCCCCACCCCACAGCCCUCACCCCCACACCCCAACCCUCUGCCCCAGCCAUGAGCCCCUCUCACACUCCUCCCACACUCUGCUGGGACGUGGGCAUACAUUUCUUCAACUGGGUUGCCAGAAAAAAAAGUUUGAAAACCACUGCUCUAAUGGAAAUCUUUACCCAAACGGAUGAAAACCCUACUUAAGUGAUGUGGCCCCCUUCCUUUAGAACUGCCACCCUGUUUGAUGCUAUUCUGAGAUGUAGAGACAGAAUAAAGGCUUGAAAGGAACGCAUGGAAUCUUACCUAUGCCAUCAGGUAGAUGCAGGAUAUCAGCAUUCCAAGGAAGUUCAUAAGGCAUUUUGAUACUUUGGUUGUUGGAUACUUAGUGAAUUGUGGAUGUAACCUUCCCUUCUUCCAGAAUAGAUACACUAAGAAACUGCUCGGGACCUGAGGAACAUUAUGAUUUAUACCAGCUGAAGGUGGCUCUUCUCAUGUUCAUAAUGUUGGGCUGUUUGUAGAUCCCCAACUGCUGUUAGCUGAUCAUAUUUCAGAAGUGACCAGGAAGGUAUUUCUCACUUGCAUCUGAUCAGAAGGUUGCAACCAUUUGUUCAGCUGCUGUCACCAAUGGCUUUGUCACAUUGAGUUAGAUUACUAUGGUGUGCUCUACACAGAGCUAACCCUUCAACCUAUUCAGAAAACUGAAGCUGGUGCAGAAAGUGACAGCUUGCUAGUUAUCACUAAUUCUGAUUCUGAAAAAAGAAAAGGAGUACUUGUGACACCUUAGAGACUAACAACUUUAUUUGAGCAUAAGCUUUCGUGCAUCCAAUGAAGUGAGCUGCAGCUCACGAAAGCUUAUGCUCAGAUAAAUUGGUUAGUCUCUAAGGUGCCACAAGUACUCCUUUUCUUUUUGCGAAUACAGACUAACACGGCUGCUACUCUGAAAUCUGAUUUUGAAAGUCGCUUUGACACAGUAUUUGUCACAGUGGGGACUGAAUUCUCCAUUUCCGUACAUUGGCUAUUGAUGAUGACAGUGCUGGCACACUCGCUCCCGAUAUAUAUUGGCUUUGUUUGCUUGGGAGUGAUGGUGUUGGGAAGUAGUUCAAAAGCCAGUGAUUACAGCACAAAUGAAACAGAAAUCACUGGCCGUUGUUAGCUAGUGCAGCAGUGAAGACAAAUGGGAGCUGGAAUGGGUGAGUUAUGCUGUAGCAGACAGAUUCCUUUCCUGGAGACACUUUGAACAAGUUCCAGCACUAUAACACGGAACAAGGCGUCUACAGCAGGGUACGGGAAUGACUGAGUGCGGGGGGAGGGGGGAAGGGGAGGGGAGAGGAGUUCUCUGUUGGUGGAAAUUGGCACAGCCUCAUUGACUUCAAAGGAGUCUUUUUGGAAAAGAAUCAUCCAGGAAGCCUGCAGCUGCAUUGAGGAUGCUUGAAGGUGGAAAACACUGAGAUCCGGAACAAUUUCAAGACUCUGAUAGAGAUACAAAAACAAUACAGGAACAAAUGGAAAAAUAGAAAUAUCUCAAAUGUAGCCUUUCCUGAAAGCCCUUUUAUGUUGAAAAUUUCGAUGUAAAAAAGACAUUUGUUUUGAAAAUAAUUAAUGCACAUUAAAUGUAACAUACUAAUAUGUAGACUGCUUUAACACACACAGUGCAAAUGAUAACCAAAACACAUUUCACUCGAAGCAAUGACAGAAAAUGAAUUAUCCUAAGAAAAAAGUGCCUUAAAAUCUACAAUUAACUUACUUCAAAUAUUAUUAAUAUGUCAUUCCCUGAUCAAUGCAAAGAGUUCAAUAUUUCCUGUCUGUAACAUACUGUACCCCAUAUAACACUGUAACGAAGACUUUCGAAUCACCACCAUGGCGCUUUCUGCUGGCUGUCCUGGGAAUUGGCUCGGGGUUGCCAGUGUGCCCUCCUCAGGUGGUGUGUCACCUGUCAUCGCUUCUGUCUCCACCUCCAGGAUCACUUGCCUCAGUGGCAAUCUGCAGCCCAGGUUCUAGCUGCUCGUCCCAGUGGCAGCAGUCUAUACACUGGCCACUCCCCUCAGUGGCAAUUGGGGGCAAAGUGCGGGGGACCCAGGCCCGGCUGCUACUCCGGGUCCUGCCCCAGUGACCCUAUAGCCGGCAGCCACCUGCUGCCCCUCCUCCAACUCCUUUAUCUCCUUCCCUGGGCCACUUCCCCACAGUCCCAGCACCCUUGUAUCAGGGCCUCAGUCAGGCAGCCAUCAGCCUGGAGCUUCCUCAUACUCUGUACAAAGUAUGCCUUGUGCAAUAUCAUUUGAAAACUCAUAAUCUACUGAACAUUAUUGUCCUUUAAAAUGUGUGUAUCAACAUUGUAUAUGGAGCUAUGAGAUUUUACUUAUGAUUGUUACUGAAAUAUACUGUAGUUCUGGGUAUCACCCUCAGAUCAUUUUCUGAAAGACACUGGCACACCAGCUAGAUCCUAAAAAGCCAUUACCUGGGGAGUUGUAAACAAGAAAUUUACAGUUCACCUGAAGGUCGGUUGGCAGCUUACAUACACCAUGGAACUGCCUGACCCCAGGACCCAGCAGAGACUUGUCUAGUACAAAGGGUCAGAAUAUAAGAAAGGGAAAAAAGACCUCUUACCACCUCUCCUCUUCACCUUACAUCUCUCUGCUCAUAACAUCAAUGAAUAUCUGAAGGACACUGAACUAAGGGGAAUGGUCCGAGGCUGAAAGGAAAUCCAGCCUGUGAACUAAGAACUGUGAACUGCCUGCAGCAUCUGGUGGGGUGAGAAAGUUGUUCUUUUCAAAUCUUACUGAGCUUGGUAAAGUUUAGAAAUUAGAUUUAAUGUUUAUCUUUUAUUUCUUUUGUAAUCAGUUCUGAUCUGUAUGCCUUAUCACUUGUAAUCACUUAAAAUGUAUAUUUCUCUAGUUAAUAAACUUGUUUUAUUGUUUUA